This is a transfer RNA of Loxodonta africana (African savanna elephant), 71 nucleotides long. It matches the Rfam family "tRNA". From Rfam's summary of the family: Transfer RNA (tRNA) molecules are approximately 80 nucleotides in length. The record is from Rfam. Lineage: Eukaryota; Metazoa; Chordata; Mammalia; Proboscidea; Elephantidae.
GCAUUGGUGGUUCAGUGGUAGAAUUCUUGCCUUCCAUGCAGGAGACCCAAAUUUGAUUCCCAGCCAACGCA